Long non-coding RNA from Zingiber officinale, 167 nucleotides. RefSeq lists it as uncharacterized. Lineage: Eukaryota; Viridiplantae; Streptophyta; Magnoliopsida; Zingiberales; Zingiberaceae. The record is from RefSeq and is a predicted model, not a curated record. The transcript has 3 exons.
GGGAUCAGUGAUCAGCGGCUGAGGGAAAAUGAUUGGCACCAUUGUAGAUACGACAGAUUUGGUUCCGAUGAUCUAGCUUCGACGGUGACGCCUCGGGUCGUAUUCCACCAUCUGUCACUUGGUUGUGAAUGGAGGAUCCUGAUUUGCGACGAGUUACCUUACGUGGG